RNAcentral lists this ribosomal RNA (497 nucleotides) under uncultured bacterium. RNAcentral describes it as "partial 16S ribosomal RNA". It matches the Rfam family "Bacterial small subunit ribosomal RNA", at positions 28 to 507 of the family's 1533-position model. The record is from RNAcentral.
GAUGAACGCUGGCGGCGUGCCUAAUACAUGCAAGUCGAGCGAACAGACGAGGAGCUUGCUCCUUCGACGUUAGCGGCGGACGGGUGAGUAACACGUAGGUAACCUACCUAUAAGGCUGGGAUAACUUCGGGAAACCGGAGCUAGUACCGGAUAAUAUUUCGAACCGCAUGGUUCGAUAGUGAAAGAUGGCUUUGCUAUCACUUAUAGAUGGACCUGCGCCGUAUUAGCUAGUUGGUAAGGUAACGGCUUACCAAGGCUACGAUCCGUAGCCGACCUGAGAGGGUGAUCGGCCACACUGGAACUGAGACACGGUCCAGACUCCUACGGGAGGCAGCAGUAGGGAAUCUUCCGCAAUGGGCGAAAGCCUGACGGAGCAACGCCGCGUGAGUGAUGAAGGUCUUCGGAUCGUAAAACUCUGUUAUUAGGGAAGAACAAACGUGUAAGUAACUGUGCACGUCUUGACGGUACCUAAUCAGAAAGCCACGGCUAACUACGUG